CGCGGGGUAGAGCAGUGGUAGCUCGUCAGGCUCAUAAUCUGAAGGUCGAUGGUUCGAUCCCAUCCCCCGCCACCA
RNAcentral lists this transfer RNA (75 nucleotides) under bacterium. RNAcentral's name for it is "tRNA-Met". It matches the Rfam family "tRNA". From Rfam's summary of the family: Transfer RNA (tRNA) molecules are approximately 80 nucleotides in length. Their secondary structure includes four short double-helical elements and three loops (D, anti-codon, and T loops). Further hydrogen bonds mediate the characteristic L-shaped molecular structure. tRNAs have two regions of fundamental functional importance: the anti-codon, which is responsible for specific mRNA codon recognition, and the 3' end, to which the tRNAs corresponding amino acid is attached (by aminoacyl-tRNA synthetases). tRNAs cope with the degeneracy of the genetic code in two manners: having more than one tRNA (with a specific anti-codon) for a particular amino acid; and 'wobble' base-pairing, i.e. permitting non-standard base-pairing at the 3rd anti-codon position. RNAcentral also lists the same sequence under 2 other names. The record is from RNAcentral.